AAACUUUCAACAACGGAUCUCUUGGUUCUGGCAUCGAUGAAGAACGCAGCGAAAUGCGAUAAGUAAUGUGAAUUGCAGAAUUCAGUGAACCAUCGAAUCUUUGAACGCACAUUGCGCCCGCCAGCAUUCUGGCGGGCAUGCCUGUUCGAGCGUCAUA
Molecule: ribosomal RNA, 157 nt
Filed under: Polycephalomyces formosus
Lineage: Eukaryota; Fungi; Ascomycota; Sordariomycetes; Hypocreales; Polycephalomycetaceae
Description: 5.8S ribosomal RNA
Rfam family: 5.8S ribosomal RNA
About the family: 5.8S ribosomal RNA (5.8S rRNA) is a component of the large subunit of the eukaryotic ribosome.
Source: RNAcentral